AUUGAACGCUGGCGGCAUGCUUUACACAUGCAAGUCGAACGGCAGCACGGGGGCGAACCCUGGUGGCGAGUGGCGAACGGGUGAGUAACACAUCGGAACGUGCCCAGUUGUGGGGGAUAACCUAUCGAAAGGUAGGCUAAUACCGCAUGAGCUCGGCAAGAGGAAAGCGGGGGACUCAGCGAUGGGCCUCGCGCGACUGGAGCGGCCGAUGUCCGAUUAGCAGUUGGUGGGGUAAAGGCUUACCAAGGCGACGAUCGGUAGCUGGUCUGAGAGGAUGAUCAGCCACACUGGGACUGAGACACGGCCCAGACUCCUACGGGAGGCAGCAGUGGGGAAUAUUGGACAAUGGGCGCAAGCCUGAUCCAGCGAUGCCGCGUGUGUGAAGAAGG
Molecule: ribosomal RNA, 389 nt
Filed under: uncultured bacterium
Lineage: Bacteria
Description: bacterial SSU rRNA
Rfam family: Bacterial small subunit ribosomal RNA
Source: RNAcentral